GGAGUUUGGGCCGUGUCUCAGUCCCAAUGUGGCCGGUCACCCUCUCAGGUCGGCUACUGAUCGUCGCCUUGGUGAGCCGUUACCUCACCAACUAGCUAAUCAGACGCGGGUCCAUCCUAUACCACCGGAGUUUUUCACACUAGACCAUGCGGUCUUGUGCGCUUAUGCGGUAUUAGCAGUCGUUUCCAACUGUUAUCCCCCUGUAUAGGGUAGGUUACCCACGCGUUACUCACCCGUCCGCCACUCAGUCACCUCAAGGUGAAUCAAUCAAAAGCAAGCUUUCUCAAUCUUCGAUUAGAGGUGCUUCGUUCGACUUGCAUGUGUUAAGCACGCCGCCAGCGUUCAUCCUGAGCCAUGAUCAAACUCA
This 367-nucleotide ribosomal RNA is filed under the name uncultured Anaerostipes sp. RNAcentral describes it as "partial 16S ribosomal RNA". Lineage: Bacteria; Bacillati; Bacillota; Clostridia; Lachnospirales; Lachnospiraceae. The record is from RNAcentral.